UAAGGCGAGGCCGAAAGGCGUAGUCGAUGGGAAACAGGUUAAUAUUCCUGUACUUGGUGUUACUGCGAAGGGGGGACGGAGAAGGCUAUGUCGGCCGGGCGACGGUUGUCCCGGUUUAAGCGUGUAGGUGUGUGCUCCAGGCAAAUCCGGUGCACUUUAACACUGAGGCGUGAUGACGAGGCACUACGGUGCUGAAGUGACAAAUGCCCUGCUUCCAGGAAAAGCCUCUAAGCAUCAGGUAACACGAAAUCGUACCCCAAACCGACACAGGUGGUCAGGUAGAGAAUACCAAGGCGCUUGAGAGAACUCGGGUGAAGGAACUAGGCAAAAUGGUGCCGUAACUUCGGGAGAAGGCACGCUGAUAUGUAGGUGAAGUGAUUUACUCAUGGAGCUGAAAUCAGUCGAAGAUACCAGCUGGCUGCAACUGUUUAUUAAAAACACAGCACUGUGCAAACACGAAAGUGGACGUAUACGGUGUGACGCCUGCCCGGUGCCGGAAGGUUAAUUGAUGGGGUUAUCCUCGCGGAGAAGCUCUUGAUCGAAGCCCCGGUAAACGGCGGCCGUAACUAUAACGGUCCUAAGGUAGCGAAAUUCCUUGUCGGGUAAGUUCCGACCUGCACGAAUGGCGUAAUGAUGGCCAGGCUGUCUCCACCCGAGACUCAGUGAAAUUGAACUCGCUGUGAAGAUGCAGUGUACCCGCGGCAAGACGGAAAGACCCCGUGAACCUUUACUAUAGCUUGACACUGAACACUGGUCCUUGAUGUGUAGGAUAGGUGGGAGGCUUUGAAGUGUGGACGCCAGUCUGCAUGGAGCCGCCCUUGAAAUACCACCCUUUAAUGGCUGGUGUUCUAACGUGGGCCCGUGAUCCGGGUUGCGGACAGUGUCUGGUGGGUAGUUUGACUGGGGCGGUCUCCUCCUAAAGAGUAACGGAGGAGCACGAAGGUCAGCUAAUCCUGGUCGGACAUCAGGAGGUUAGUGCAAUGGCAUAAGCUGGCUUGACUGCGAGCGUGACGGCGCGAGCAGGUGCGAAAGCAGGUCAUAGUGAUCCGGUGGUUCUGAAUGGAAGGG
RNAcentral lists this ribosomal RNA (1068 nucleotides) under human gut metagenome. Its description in RNAcentral is "bacterial LSU rRNA". It matches the Rfam family "Bacterial large subunit ribosomal RNA", at positions 1392 to 2441 of the family's 2925-position model. The record is from RNAcentral.